GAUGAACGCUGGCGGCGUGCCUAAUACAUGCAAGUCGAGCGAACAGACGAGGAGCUUGCUCCUCUGACGUUAGCGGCGGACGGGUGAGUAACACGUGGAUAACCUACCUAUAAGACUGGGAUAACUUCGGGAAACCGGAGCUAAUACCGGAUAAUAUAUUGAACCGCAUGGUUCAAUAGUGAAAGACGGUUUUGCUGUCACUUAUAGAUGGAUCCGCGCCGCAUUAGCUAGUUGGUAAGGUAACGGCUUACCAAGGCAACGAUGCGUAGCCGACCUGAGAGGGUGAUCGGCCACCCUGGAACUGAGACACGGUAAAGACUCCUACGAGAGGCAGCAGUAGGGAAUCUUCAGCAAUGGGCGAAAGAUUGACGGAGCAAAGCCGAGUGAGUGAUGAAGGUCUUCGGAUCGUAAAAAUAUGUUAUGAGGGAAGAACAAAUGUGUAAGUAACUAUGCACGUCUUGACGGUACCUAAUAAGAAAGCCACGGCUAACUACGUG
This 497-nucleotide ribosomal RNA is filed under the name uncultured bacterium. RNAcentral's name for it is "partial 16S ribosomal RNA". It matches the Rfam family "Bacterial small subunit ribosomal RNA", at positions 28 to 507 of the family's 1533-position model. The record is from RNAcentral.